This 2211-nucleotide long non-coding RNA is filed under the name Salmo salar (Atlantic salmon). Its description in RNAcentral is "lncRNA (ENSSSAG00000091667.1)". The record is from RNAcentral. Lineage: Eukaryota; Metazoa; Chordata; Actinopteri; Salmoniformes; Salmonidae.
GUUGGUGUUGUCUGUACUGUCAUGGUGGUUUCAGAGAGGGUUAGUUGGUGUUGUCUGUACUGUCAUGGUGGUUUCAGAGAGGGUUAGUUGGUAUUGUCUGUACUGUCAUGGUGGUUUCAGAGAGGGUUAGAUGGUGGUUGUCUGGGGUUGGUAGAUGAGGUGAGAUUAGCUUGGCGUCUGUGAACUGUAGUGUUAUUGUUCUAAGAUUGUAGAGUGGCGUGAUGGAUGGAUGGAUGGAUGGAUGGAUAGGUGGUGGGAGUACAUUAUUAGAAGGAUUCCACAGGUUGUUGUGGUAGAUAAGAUGUAUCAGUCACUGUCUGACAGUGGAUAGGAUGUUUGCUGUAGUGUUGUUAGUGGAGGUUAGGACUAGUAACAGGGAUGUUGUAGUGUUUGUGGAGGUUAGGACUAGUAACAGGGAUGUUGUGGUGUUGGUGGAGGUUAGGACUAGUAACAGGGAUGUUGUGGUGUUUGUGGAGGUUAGGACUAGUAACAGGGAUGUUGUAGUGUUAGUGGAGGUUAGGAUUAGUAACAGGGAUGUUGUGGAGGUUAGGACUAGUAACAGGGAUGUUGUAGUGUUUGUGGAGGUUAGGACUAGUAACAGGGAUGUUGUAGUGUUAGUGGAGGUUAGGAUUAGUAACAGGGAUGUUGUGGAGGUUAGGACUAGUAACAGGGAUGUUGUAGUGUUUGUGGAGGUUAGGACUAGUAACAGGGAUGUUGUAGUGUUUGUGGAGGGUAGGACUAGUAACAGGGAUGUUGUAGUGUUGGUGGAGGUUAGGACUAGUAACAGGGAUGUUGUGGAGGUUAGGACUAGUAACGGGGAUGUUGUGGUGUUGGUGGAGGUUAGGACUAGUAACAGGGAUGUUGUAGUGUUUGGAGGUUAGGACUAGUAACAGGGAUGUUGUAGUGUUAGUGGAGGUUAGGACUAGUGACAGGGAUGUUGUGGUGUUAGUGGAGGUUAGGACUAGUGACAGGGAUGUUGUGGUGUUAGUGGAGGUUAGGACUAGUGACAGGGAUGUUGUAGUGUUAGUGGAGGUUAGGACUAGUAACAGGGAUGUUGUAGUGUUAGUGGAGGUUAGGACUAGUAACAGGGAUGUUGUAGUGUUAGUGGAGGUUAGGACUAGUAACAGGGAUGUUGUAGUGUUUGGAGGUUAGGACUAGUAACAGGGAUGUUGUAGUGUUUGUGGAGGUCAGGACUAGUAACAGGGAUGUUGUAGUGUUAGUGGAGGUUAGGACUAGUAACAGGGAUGUUGUAGUGUUUGUGGAGGUUAGGACUAGUAACAGGGAUGUUGUAGUGUUGGUGGAGGUUAGGACUAGUAACAGGGAUGUUGUGGUGUAGGUGGAGGUUAGGACUAGUAACAGGGAUGUUGUGGUGUUGGUGGAGGUUAGGACUAGUAACAGGGAUGUUGUAGUGUUAGUGGAGGUUAGGACUAGUAACAGGGAUGUUGUAGUGUUGGUGGAGGUUAGGACUAGUAACAGGGAUGUUGUAGUGUUGGUGGAGGUUAGGACUAGUAACAGGGAUGUUUUAGUGUUAGUGGAGGUUAGGACUAGUAACAGGGAUGUUGUAGUGUUAGUGGAGGUUAGGACUAGUAACAGGGAUGUUGUAGUGUUGGUGUAGGUUAGGACUAGUAACAGGGAUGUUGUGGUGUUGGUGUAGGUUAGGACUAGUAACAGGGAUGUUGUGGUGUUGGUGGAGGUUAGGACUAGUAACAGGGAUGUUGUAGUGUUUGGAGGUUAGGACUAGUAACAGGGAUGUUGUGGUGUUGGUGGAGGUUAGGACUAGUAACAGGGAUGUUGUAGUGUUUGGAGGUUAGGACUAGUAACAGGGAUGUUGUGGUGUCGGUGUAGGUUAGGACUAGUAACAGGGAUGUUGUAGUGUUCAUUGAGGUUAGGACUAGUUACAGGGAUGUUGUAGUGUUCAUUGAGGUUAGGACUAGUAACAGGGAUGUUGUAGUGUUCAUUGAGGUUUGGACUAGUAACAGGGAUGUUGUAGUGUUAGUGGAGGUUUGGACUAGUGACAGGGUUACAGAGCCAUGGUGGUGUUGAUGUUGUCUCUAUGGAAGUGCUGCCCUGGAAGAGCAAGGUAUUCAUCCAGUGUUGUAGACCCAGCCGUGCAUUUCUCUCUCUGUCAUUUUCUGUCUCUUUCUGUCUGUCUCUCUUUGUCGCUCUCUCUUUCUCUCGCUCUCCCUCCUUCUCUCUCUUCAUCUGUCUCUC